Long non-coding RNA from Mus musculus (house mouse), 5225 nucleotides. RefSeq annotates it as predicted gene, 50105. The record is from RefSeq and is a predicted model, not a curated record. The transcript has 2 exons. NCBI's taxonomy places the organism in Eukaryota, Metazoa, Chordata, Mammalia, Rodentia, Muridae.
UUUGCCCAUGGUGUUAUAGCAGAGUAACAUAAAGGUAACCAACUGUUCUGGAUGGGCCUGGUGCUGUUUAUAUGUGGACAAGGAGUCACAAGUACUCAGGUGACUUAUGAACCAAUCCCCUAAUGAAUAAAGGAGCCAAUCACUGGGUGAGUAGGAGGGACUUCCGAGUUGGAAAGGGGACAAGAGGAAGCAGGAGAGAGUUAGAGCCUUUUGGACCAGGGAGAGCAUAAGGGCAGAAUGUAGCUGCUAGAGUUUCCUGGUAUCAUGGCAGAUCCUCAAAGAUUCACCACCAGAGGAAUCAGAUUCUAAUAAGGUUUACAGGAUUAGGUUUUAGUUGUUGUGCCCAGAGACUGAGUUAGCACUGUUUCUGAACUAAGUCUGUGUUGCGUUUUUCCUUCCCGAGGCGGCUCAUCUGAGUUCAAGAGAGAAAGGUAUGGCGGCAAAGCGUGGGUUUGCCUGAUAUGCACCACAAAGGCCAUGGGGGUUUUGCAGCAUGGGGCUGAUGUGGUAAUGACCCACCAGUGGGAACUUAAGAGAGCUGGGUGGAGAGAUUUUGGAGCUUUGAGUCGGAGAGUCUCCGUGAGAUAAAAACAGGUCAGCCAUUGCCCACCAGUGCAUGGCCAGCCAAGGCCACUGGAGCAGAGAGUUGCUGACACAAGUGCUCGCUCGUUCAUUUUUUUAUAUUUCCCCGCAACCACCAACAAAGAGGAACUGUAGGAGUCAGAGAACUUCCAGAUGUGGGAGCUGUGGAGGGUAGUGCCCGCCAAGGCCAUGACAGCCUUCCCUAUCCCUCAGAACCUCUGCGACAUGCUCAGUCUUAAAGCUUCCCCCUUGAAAAUAAAGAGGUCAAUGUAUAUAAAAUGUCUUUUAGAGUUCUACGAACAAUUCUAGCAAAUGACAAAGUAUACUCAGAGGAACUCAAAUUCAAGGCAUAACCACCCCCCACUCCCAGUUUAUACAAAUCUAUCCAAAGCACCAAUACCAGCCAGGACCUGAAGUGUGAAGUGAGGUCCAUCCUGUGGCGGGGUGGAGUCUUGGCCUGUGGGAUCUGACGUUCCAAGUGGAGCCAUGGUUGACUGAAGCUUCCCACCUAGGGAUUGAUGUGAGAAGGGAAACCUACCAGGCUAAGAGCACAGAUGCACUCUGCAGCAUCCAUAGGAUUCAGAGAACUUCCAGAUGUGGGAGCUGUGGAGGGUAGUGCCCUCCAAGGCCCUGACAGCCUUCCCUAUCCCUCAGAUCUGUGGCAGAGAAACCAGGUUGCUUGGUUCUCUUAGCCCCCGCUCUACCAUGCACUAAUCAACCCACACAGUUGGGCAAGCUGGGCCCUGUGCACGAGGGAAUUCCGAUCUGGACACCGCUGUCCUGGAGGUACCAGGUCCUUGCUGCAUGAGGAGUCUCUGUUGUUCACUUCCCCACCUCCACAACCGGAUUAAACCUGAUCCCACAGCUCCAGUUUGCGACUGGCUGUCCAUGUGGUGGGCUCAGACCGGGGCGCUAGAGUGAUACAGUUUCCCACGGUAUUUCUCAGUGGUGACUGCUAAGGUUUGGAGAACAGUUCUCAGCUGUGUGUGGAAGGCUUGGUCCCCAGUCUAUGAUGUUACUGGGAGGUGGUGGAGCCUUUAAUAGGUAGAGCCUAGGGGAAGGAAGUUAGCUCACCCCAUCCUAUUUCCUCUUCCUGGGUGCUUUGUGAGGAGCUCCUACACACACACCCUUCCCCCACCCCACCCCCCAGGCUUUUAAUAUGCUGCUUCAGCCUAGGCCCAGUGCAACAGGGCUGAUAGACCACGGGUCAGAACCUCCAAAAAAACUGAAGAGUUCUGAAUUUACGCAGUUGAAUCCUUCUCAACAGUCUGUGAUGCGGGAACACUUUAUUACCACCGUUCCCCAGCUGAAGAGUUUUGAAUUCACGCAGUUGAAUCCUUCUCAACAGUCUGUUUUACGGGAACACUAACUCUUACCCGCAGUUCUGGUUCCGGAAUGAAGAAUCUUCCUUGCGCCGGUGAUGGUUAACUCUCGUCUCGAGUUUUUUUGUCCCGGGUUUUUUUUUGUCCCGGGUUCUUUUUUCCCGGAUUUUCUCGUCCCGGAUUUCGGCACCAACUCUUACACGCAUUCUCGCGACCGGCCAGGAAAGACGCAGCAAACCAGAAUCUUCUGUGGCAAAACUUUAUUGCUUACAUCUUCAGGAGCAAGAGUGCAAGCCCCAAACCCCCAGCCCCCUGCUUACAUCUUUAGGAGCCAGAGCGCCAGAGCGCCAGAGCGCCAGAGCGCCAGAACGCAGAUUAUUUGUUUACCACUUAGAACACAGCUGUCAGCGCCAUCUUGUAACGGCGAAUGUGGGGGCGGCUUCCCACAAGAAAACACUGUUUCAGCAAAGAAGCAAAACCAAAAUGAUGAUUAAAAGAGAAAAAUACCAAAGGCCCAACCUCUGGCCGUUCCAGCCACCUGCAUGAGUGAGUGCAUCUGGACAGACAGACUGACCAGCACACAUGCACGUAGACGCUCGAUAUUCAAGUCUUUUUUUUUUUUUUCUGCCUUGUGUGUCUGGGUUGUGGACAUUGUGUUGAAAUAUUGAGGACAUUGAAGUCAAUGCCACGUGUCUUCUACUGAUCUCCUCCUUAGAUUUUGGGACAAGGUCUCUCACUGAUCCUGUGUUGCAGGAUUUUCCCUGUCCAAUUAGAUUAGGGCAGUGGGAAGCCUGUGAUUGGACAGGGAAAAAGGAGGCAGAGCUAGAAGUUGCAGCGACAAGGAGUGUCUCCAGAUAGCAGGGAGAAAGGAAGAUGGCAGGGGACGUGAAUCAGUGUGGCUGUGACCAGCCACAGGUUGUUAUAAUAUCACAAAGGUUGGAAUAUUGGGAUAAUUUGUCUAAUCUAGGUGGGUUAUUUAUUUAUUUAUUUAGAGACUGGGUUUCUCUGUAUAGCCCUGGCUGUCCUGGAACUCACUCUGUAGACCAGGCUGGCCUCAAACUCAGAAAUCCACCUACUUCUGCCUCCCAAGUGUUGGGAUUAAAGGUGUGUACCACCACUGCCCAGCAGUGGGCAGCUUUUAUCACUAUCAAUUGUUUCUAAAAUUAUUGUAUUGGCAUCUUGUAAACUGUGAUUUUAUUGACACAUAAAUCUGAUUGGAAAAAAAAAGAGCUUUAAUUCUAUUAGCUAAUUGGGUGUUUUGAUGGCUGACUGUGGGGUCCGAGGGGCCUUGCAUGAUAGCGAGAGGAGGUGGGGGUGGGGCGCUGGAGAGUUGGUGGGCAGAGAGACCAUCAAGUUGAGUUCACCUGGUAGGAGCCCUGUGGCCAGAGGGGUCAGAGAGUUGGCGGGCUGAAAGAAGCAGGAGCAUGGAGAGUUAGCAGGAUCAUUUUUAAAUAUUUCCCACAACAACCUGGGCUGGACUGUCUGGCCAGCAAGCUCUCGGAUCUAUCUGUGUCCACUUCACCAGCACUGGCGAGACAGAUGUGGUGUGUGUGUGACCACCCCUGGCUUGCACGUGGGUUCUAGGGAUCCAGACUCAGACCCACGUGCUUGCCCAACAAGCACUUUAACUACUGAGUCUUCUUCCUAGUCCCCAGUUCUCAAGCCUUGAAUAACUGAAGUGUGCCAGUCAGGCGGUCGUUCUUUCAAAUACAAAGAGUAUUCCGUAAAAAGAAAUCCAGUAAGUCUGGGCAUGUGGCUUGGCACCUGGUGUGCACAGAAGUCCUGGGUUCUGAUUCUAGCACUGAAAAAGGGAGAAAGGAAAAAGAUGAGAGAGGGGGGGUGGAAAUAAGGAAGGAGAGAAGAAUGGGGGAAAGAACAGGAGGGAGAGAAGAAAGGAGGGAGAAGAAAUAAGAUGGGGGAAUGGAGAAAAAGAUGGAAAAAAAACUGAGCAGUAAAACAGAAAAAUAAGGAGCUGGCAAUAAUUUGACUCUUCUGUCUCAGCCUCUUAUUUGCAAUCACAGCAAACGUGUGCUGUUGACAGACAAUGCCACUGGCAGAGGGCUUUGCCCAUUGACAAGCUGUCAGAAAGGAUGUGAGCUGUUUGUGCGGCAUUGUGUUCAGGUGAUGCCCACAUUAUCAGACUUGGGUAAAGCAGCCAACGCUCUGUGAUGUGGCUGGGUCGCAGUCAGUUGGCUUCAGGCAUUAAACGAAUCGACAGGGCACAGGAUGGAAGGAAUUAUGCCUCCCGGUGGCCUUGGUCAAGAGGUAGCCUAAACUCAACCUGGCAGCUGCUUGCCCUGGGUGUUUGUUGUUGCAAAACAAUCUCCCAAACUGGGCUUGGCUUGUAGAGCACAGGUAGAAGCCACCGGGGAUGACUGGCUUCUGACCUAGGGCUUGGCCCCAGGGUUGAACAGGGCUCUCUCUGAAGUCUCUCAGAAGUUCUUCCAAGAACUGCACAGUUAGACUUCCCCUGAACCCCACUAACAGGGAAGAUGAACUCAGUGCCAAGAAGGUAAGAGCCUGGAACCAAGUUCCAGAAGUAGGGGUUGUGUUCUCUGAUGCUUCGGGAUGGUAAGCCUUCACUUCGGCACGGUUAGGACUGUGGAGAGCUUUUGGGGCCACCUUUAGGAAUUUGGCAAGAGUUUGACAUUGGGCUAGAACUAGGAAAUAGGCUUAGGAUGAAUAAGGCUGAGGAAUGUGUAUCUUGACGGGUCUUGUUAAGACCCCGAAUGCAAUACUUGUGGGACCUUUGUCUGUGCUUUGUUUGUUCCUUAACUAGUUUGUUUAUGCCUUAGGACUGACUUUAUUCGUUGCAGGGGCUUAGGAUGGUGUAAAAGCAAACUGGAGAAAAAUAAAGCUGCUUCAGCCUCAGCCCUGGCAGGAGUCCUGUUACAGUGUUGUCUAACUGUCUUUUUCUUUUCAAUCCUCGAUCCCUCCCUUGAGACCCAGUUGACUGACUGAGCUGUCUUGGUCAUAGGACAGCCAGGCAUGAGGGGCAGCAAGGGAGAGACUUGAUCAUGCACUUACACAGUGCAGGACUUCACAUUGCAAGGAAGCCUUUGUUCUGGCAUACCUGUCACCUGCUCAUCAUAGCUUGUCACCACCUCCCCCGGAGCCCAGAGACCUUUGUGCCAAGCCUCUGUGAGUCCUUCAGGCCAAUUCAUCUCUGUACAAAUCCCUGGGCCUGCCCUCCCACUUUGUGCGAUCUCCCCUAGGCCCUUUUUUCCUUGCCCUUGUAAGGAAGUUUCAGCCAUCUGACCCGCCUCUGACCUUUGUAAUGUGUAUGGCUCCUGUGCACGUUAAUAAAUAAUGUCUACCCUU